This 75-nucleotide antisense RNA is filed under the name Streptomyces sp. NBRC 110611. RNAcentral's name for it is "ASpks TB sRNA". It matches the Rfam family "ASpks TB sRNA". The record is from Rfam by way of RNAcentral. Lineage: Bacteria; Bacillati; Actinomycetota; Actinomycetes; Kitasatosporales; Streptomycetaceae.
CUUCACCGACCCCAGCCACAACGGCCGUCCCUCAGCCCGCUGUUGGCCAUAUGUGGCCAGCAGGGCCUGGGCCUC